UACGUAGGGUGCAAGCGUUGUCCGGAAUUAUUGGGCGUAAAGAGCUCGUAGGCGGUUUGUCGCGUCUGCUGUGAAAUCCCGAGGCUCAACCUCGGGCCUGCAGUGGGUACGGGCAGACUAGAGUGCGGUAGGGGAGAUUGGAAUUCCUGGUGUAGCGGUGGAAUGCGCAGAUAUCAGGAGGAACACCGAUGGCGAAGGCAGGUCUCUGGGCCACUACUGACGCUGAGAAGCGAAAGCAUGGGGAGCGAACAGG
RNAcentral lists this ribosomal RNA (253 nucleotides) under uncultured bacterium. RNAcentral's name for it is "partial 16S ribosomal RNA". It matches the Rfam family "Bacterial small subunit ribosomal RNA", at positions 524 to 776 of the family's 1533-position model. The record is from RNAcentral.